Trifolium pratense (red clover) is the source of this 448-nucleotide long non-coding RNA. RefSeq lists it as uncharacterized. Lineage: Eukaryota; Viridiplantae; Streptophyta; Magnoliopsida; Fabales; Fabaceae. The transcript is spliced from 2 exons. The record is from RefSeq and is a predicted model, not a curated record.
GGUCACUUUGUCUCUUUAAACUGAUUUGACAGUCAGAGCCAAAACAAGUGACGUUGGUGAUUUUAGUGCUGGUUCUUAUGCAACAAUAGUUGGAGCGGAGGCUGCAAAGUUGGGUAGAGUACUCACAGUGGAGAGGGUCUUUGUAAGAACUCAAACCAAUGCAUAGAAGUCAUCUUGGGUUGAACAAGAUAUAAGUUGCAGGCCUCAGAAGCUGCAGAUGGUAAGGGCUCCCAAACGAUCAAUACGAUCGACCCUGCGACUCAUUUUAAGUUAUGUGCCUAAUCAUCUAGGGGGAAAACUGUUAUGACUACAUAUUUUGUCCAAAUUGUUAGUGUCUUAUCUGUUUAUUUUGAAACUUGUAAUAGUGUCAAUUUUUGUUAACACUACACUUUAGUUUGAGUAAGUGAUCUUUUGAUGAUAUGAUUCAAUUUGCUUAGUUUUAAAUUUA